Molecule: long non-coding RNA, 201 nt
Organism: Carassius carassius (crucian carp)
Lineage: Eukaryota; Metazoa; Chordata; Actinopteri; Cypriniformes; Cyprinidae
Exons: 3
Source: RefSeq, a predicted model, not a curated record
ACUGCAGAGCAUCCAUUGGUGAUCAAGUGAUACAAUGCUACAUUUCUCCAAAUCUGUUCCCAUGAAGGAACAAACUCAUGUCCAUCUUGGAUGUCCUCAGGUGAAAAAUGUCAGACUGCUCUCUGGGCCACACCCAUUUCUCAUCAUCCAAUCAACAACUGAUGUGUAAAACAAUGUCCCACCCUACUUUUUCUUUUUUUG